Molecule: ribosomal RNA, 274 nt
Filed under: uncultured bacterium
Lineage: Bacteria
Description: partial 16S ribosomal RNA
Rfam family: Bacterial small subunit ribosomal RNA
Source: RNAcentral
AUACGGAGGGGGCUAGCGUUGUUCGGAUUUACUGGGCGUAAAGCGCGCGUAGGCGGUUUGGUCAGUCGGAUGUGAAAGCCCUGGGCUCAACCUGGGAAUGGCAUUCGAUACUGCCUGACUGGAGUAUGGUAGAGGGAAGUGGAAUUUCCGGUGUAGCGGUGAAAUGCGUAGAUAUCGGAAGGAACACCAGUGGCGAAGGCGACUUCCUGGGCCAAUACUGACGCUGAGGUGCGAAAGCGUGGGGAGCAAACAGGAUUAGAAACCCCGGUAGUCC